GGCGUGCCUAACACAUGCAAGUCCAACGUGAAAGGGGAGCAAUCCCCCGGUAGGGUGGCAAACGGGUGAGUAAGACAUGGGUGAUCUACCUUAGGGAUGGGGAUAUCCUUCCGAAAGGAGGGGCAAUACCGAAUAUUGUCCGGGACCAUGAAGGGUUCCGGGGAAAGGGAGGCCUCUGAUACAAGCUUUCGCCUUAGGAUGAGCCCGUGGCCCAUGAGCUAGUGGGUAGGGUAAGGGCCUACCAAGGCUACGACGGGUCGGUGGUCUGAGAGGACGACCAGGCCACACUGGCACUGAGAU
RNAcentral lists this ribosomal RNA (300 nucleotides) under uncultured Leptospirillum sp. RNAcentral's name for it is "bacterial SSU rRNA". It matches the Rfam family "Bacterial small subunit ribosomal RNA", at positions 41 to 325 of the family's 1533-position model. Lineage: Bacteria; Pseudomonadati; Nitrospirota; Nitrospiria; Nitrospirales; Nitrospiraceae. The record is from RNAcentral.